GGAGGCAGGGGUUGAGAUAAAGAUCACGUCGUGAUUUUGGCCCAUUUAUCCUAUUUCUUGCUGGGAUUGCUGCCUCCGCAUCGGAUCACUCGGCUACCAAACCGCUAUGCUAUAAAGGGCCCUCCUUUGGUAUCGAAUCGAGCCUAAAGGGUGGUCCGGUAGGAGAGGGAGGGUUCGUCUUGAACUUCUUGCCAGAAUGUACCUAAAUCAGUAGUGAUUUCGAUCUCUUAAGGUAGGUCGAUGUCUACGCAUAUAGGGCGUAUAGCAGCUUUGAUCUUAUCUCAGUAAUGUCAUCCAUUUUCAAUGGGUUCCCUAUGCCUCUUGCUAUUGCAAAGAGAAUUUCCGGCCUCCACAGCUCCGAAAGAAGAGGAAAUCGAACCGCUUUUAUUGCAGGAUCAUCCAGGUCUGGUUUGAAGCUCUGAUACCACCUUGACAGAUUGAUUGAGAAAGGCUCAAUCUUCCAAGAGGAACCAGAAAGAACAAGAGAGAGAGAGACCUUGCUCGGAUUUGAAACGGAAAAAAAGAUAGUGACUAUUGAGCAGGGCUACUGAGUGCUCCACCUUCCUGUAGAGCUUGGCAUUGGCCUUCAUCCAUUCUACUUAAGGUAGUUUUAUAAUGAACCUUCCUACUCAACAAAACUUCAAGUCUGCCAAGCUUUCCUGAUAUGGGGAUGAAGGGAUCCGAAUGUGCACCUCCUAAGGAUCCUUGAAUGGGACAGGGAACGAAUGCUGAGUAGAGGGAAAGGAGUAAGGAAUGAGAUGCGAUCCUAAUGCUUGCUUGGGCAAAGGAUUUGGCAGCUCCUGGCGUGGAGGGGGGAGGAUUGAGGUUUGAGAAUCCCAGGUCGGCUAGGCAGUAACUGCGGACCCUGUCGAUCUUUAUUAUCAGUCCGCCCAGUACAGUAGGGCAUAGAUAAAGAUCAAGGACGAAAUCUCAGUCCCACAGAGCGGGAUCCGCGGAUCCUUCUUGAGCCCCAAACCAUUUCCUCACUCUUUUGAGUGCACUUCCUUAGAGGAGUUGCAAUUGCAGGAGAAUUCUAAAUGUUCAGGUGGCACAACCAAAACUCCAACGUUCUUUACUUCCCCCCUCCUUCCCUGCUUAGACCUUGGCCACUUAUUGAUGGCCUAUACUCCCUAUCUUCUCUCUACUGACACAACACUUUCUAUGUUAUAUACUGUAAACUUUCAUUCGAAAUGACUACGGUUCUAACAUAACAGUAGACAUCUUCUUCUAUCUAUAUGAAAAUUAUUUUUCACUUUGACAUACGUAAUCUGGCACAUGCCCUAAACACGUAAGAAAUUCCCGUUCGUACGAUUUUAUGAACGCAAGAAAAAAAAUAACAUAAGUAUAAUCCACCAGCUUCUCUCUACCGCUAGGCACAGAACCCGAUAAGUUGACUACCGCCAAGCAAUAGGUUAGAAGGCAGAUCGACGACAAUCUCAUAGUUUACCAACAAUGGUUUUAUUUAAUGCAUCCUUUCACAAGUCAGUGGAAUCCUACCCUUCAUUGCUUGACGUUUCCUCAGCGGCAUUUCAAUGCUCGAAGAACCUUUUUUCAGCGGUAAUUCAUGCAUGACUUACUUAGACAAGACGAAGACAGCAAGGAUAAACGGAAGCUCUCUGCCUAUAAAUACCUCUCCUUACUUGUAGAUUGAUCUUAUCUCUUUCUACCUAAACUCACCCACCGCCCUUCAAGAGAGUAAUCGGUUACCUACUUUUGAGGAAACGAUCCGGGAGUCUUCUAAGUCUGGCGCAUCUGUCCCUUG
RNAcentral lists this long non-coding RNA (1762 nucleotides) under Ricinus communis (castor bean). Its description in RNAcentral is "long non-coding RNA (RCOM_LNC003430)". Lineage: Eukaryota; Viridiplantae; Streptophyta; Magnoliopsida; Malpighiales; Euphorbiaceae. The record is from RNAcentral.